UCAGUAUCUCUUGCUCACUGGCCAUGACUUGACCAUCUGAAAUCCAGUCUCAGCAUGGAGUUGAUGUUGGCCUUCACCAUGGAUGUGUGAUCUUCUUGUGUUAUGAUGGUCCUGAGUCAUGCAGAAGACACUGAAUUACCCUGCUGCAGACAAGCAGCCACCUGGUUCCACACUACAAAGAUGCAGAGAACACCAGACCACCAGACCAAGAGUCUCAUUAUAUCAUUAAGCUGGCUUUGAACUCACUGCAUAACCUAGGAUGGAUUCAAGCUCGUGAUGAUCCUCUUGCCUCAGCCUCUCAAGUAUUGAGUGGCUAUGCCUGGCUAGAUUUUGUGUUUUGUUUUUUAUGAUUCAUGUGUUCUUUUUGUGGUUCUGUGGAUCAAGGUGUUAUAUAUGCUAGAUAAAGGGGGCAGAGAAGGAAGAGAUUCAUUUCAGGGCAGCACAUUGCUGUGUGAAAGAACUACAUUUCCCAGUCCAUCUUGAAGCUGAUGUGAUCAUGUGACUGAGUUUUAGUCAGUGAGAAACAAGCAAGAAUAUGGGAGUCUAAAGUGGAAAAUGGCAGCCUCUCUUUGGUCCUAUUCCCUUCCUGCUACCUGGAAUAUGGAUGAAAUCACAAGAGCUUCAUAUGUUUGCAAAUUGUGGCCCUUUGCUAAGUGACUGAAAGAACAUGGAAGAAACCUAAAUCCCUGACACUUGUGUCCACCAUACUGCUUCUGACCUGGAACUCUGGGCUUGAUCAUGUGGGAAAGAAAACAAACCUUAUUAUAUUUUG
This is a long non-coding RNA of Heterocephalus glaber (naked mole-rat), 772 nucleotides long. The record is from Ensembl. NCBI's taxonomy places the organism in Eukaryota, Metazoa, Chordata, Mammalia, Rodentia, Bathyergidae.